GUGUGUGCAGAACAGAAGCUGACCCUGGUGGGCCACCGCCAGCCAUGUGUGCAAGCCUUCAGCCGCAUAGUGCCUGUGUGGAGGUCAGGCUGCGGGCAGCAGGCAUGGUGUGUUGGCCAAGAGCGCAGGACUGUGUACUAUAUGAGCUACAGACAGGUAUAUGCCACAGAGGCCCGCACUGUGUUCAGGUGCUGUCCCGGCUGGAGCCAGAAGCCUGGCCAGGAAGGCUGCCUCUUAGAUGUGGAUGAAUGUGCCAAUGCCAACGGGGGAUGUGAGGGCCCGUGUUGCAACACCGUGGGUGGCUUUUACUGUCGCUGCCCACCCG
Non-coding RNA from Arvicanthis niloticus (Nile rat), 325 nucleotides. Lineage: Eukaryota; Metazoa; Chordata; Mammalia; Rodentia; Muridae. The record is from RefSeq and is a predicted model, not a curated record.